UGUGAAGAAGUAGAUAAGAACAAGCUGCGUACUGUGUCAGGUCUGAAAAGAAGCAGCACCCGUGGUAUAAUUCUGUAUCUACUUCUUCCGCUUU
This 94-nucleotide signal recognition particle RNA is filed under the name Campylobacterota bacterium. Its description in RNAcentral is "Epsilonproteobacteria bacterium signal recognition particle sRNA small type". It matches the Rfam family "Bacterial small signal recognition particle RNA". Rfam says of the family: The signal recognition particle (SRP) is a universally conserved ribonucleoprotein involved in the co-translational targeting of proteins to membranes. Archaeal SRP consists of a 7S RNA and homologues of the eukaryotic SRP19 and SRP54 proteins. In most bacteria, the SRP consists of a 4.5S RNA and the Ffh protein (a homologue of the eukaryotic SRP54 protein). The record is from RNAcentral. RNAcentral also lists the same sequence under 1 other name. Lineage: Bacteria; Pseudomonadati; Campylobacterota.